GGGGUGCAGCAGGCGCGAAAACUUUACAAUGCUGGCAACAGCGAUAAGGGGACCUCGAGUGCCAGGAUACAAUCCUGGCUGUCGUAAUGCCUAAAAAGCAUUGCAUAGCAAGGGCCGGGCAAGACCGGUGCCAGCCGCCGCGGUAACACCGGCGGCUCGAGUGGUAACCGCUAUUAUUGGGUCUAAAGGGUCUGUAGCCGGCUGACUAAGUCUCUUGGGAAAUCUGGCAGCUCAACUGUCAGGCUUUCAGGAGAUACUGAUCGGCUCGAGACCGGGAGAGGUGAGAGGUACCUCAGGGGUAGGGGUGAAAUCUUGUAAUCCUUGAGGGACCGCCAGUGGCGAAGGCGUCUCACCAGAACGGAUCUGACGGCAAGGGACGAAAGCUAGGGGCACGAACCGGAUUAGAUACCCGGGUAGUCCUAGCCGUAAACGAUACUCGCUAGGUGUCGGCCACGGUGCGACCGUGGUCGGUGCCGUAGGGAAGCCGUGAAGCGAGCCACCUGGGAAGUACGGCCGCAAGGCUGAAACUUAAAGGAAUUGGCGGGGGAGCACAAGGGCGAUUCGCG
RNAcentral lists this ribosomal RNA (566 nucleotides) under uncultured archaeon. Its description in RNAcentral is "bacterial SSU rRNA". It matches the Rfam family "Archaeal small subunit ribosomal RNA", at positions 327 to 897 of the family's 1478-position model. The record is from RNAcentral.